UGGACAGAUUAUUGUAUUCGACUGUAUUUACGGCGUGAAACAGGGGAUUACACUGUUUUAAAAUGGAAAGUGAAUCAAUUAACAUAAUAGACUCCU
Molecule: microRNA precursor, 96 nt
Filed under: Nicotiana sylvestris (wood tobacco)
Lineage: Eukaryota; Viridiplantae; Streptophyta; Magnoliopsida; Solanales; Solanaceae
Description: MIR6152 microRNA precursor family
Rfam family: MIR6152 microRNA precursor family
Source: Rfam by way of RNAcentral